GACGUAGGGCGCGAGCGUUAAUCGGAAUUACUGGGCGUAAAGCGUGCGCAGGCGGCGCGUUAAGACAGGUGUGAAAGCCCCGAGCUUAACUUGGGAAUUGCGCUUGUGACUGGCGUGCUGGAGUGUGGCAGAGGGAGGUGGAAUUCCACGUGUAGCAGUGAAAUGCGUAGAGAUGUGGAGGAACACCGAUGGCGAAGGCAGCCUCCUGGGCCAGCACUGACGCUCAUGCACGAAAGCGUGGGGAGCGAACAGG
Molecule: ribosomal RNA, 253 nt
Filed under: uncultured bacterium
Lineage: Bacteria
Description: partial 16S ribosomal RNA
Rfam family: Bacterial small subunit ribosomal RNA
Source: RNAcentral